This 1418-nucleotide long non-coding RNA is filed under the name Mustela putorius furo (domestic ferret). RNAcentral describes it as "lncRNA (ENSMPUG00000032068.1)". The record is from RNAcentral. Lineage: Eukaryota; Metazoa; Chordata; Mammalia; Carnivora; Mustelidae.
CAACAACUUCAAACAGCCACCGAGUCAAUCACACAAGAACACACUUUAAAAAUGCUCAUCAAAGAAAGAAACGGAAGCUUCUAGAACCAUGUGGUUUUGUCCGUCUCCUGAUUGUGCAACUACAUCCAUGGAGGAAAUUCUGAGCACUUCACCAGGGCCCACCCAUCCAGAGGGGAGCCAUGUGAGGGAAUGGUAGAGCAAGGAACUGAGAGUGGAGAUCCCCGGGGCCUGGGACCUGAGUGGGCAGGAAGGACUGUCCUUGGCUCGCCGUUUUCCUGGUGAGGUACAGGGUUGACCAGAAGAGCUGGAACCCAUGGGAGAAGCAGCCCCCGUGGAGAAAGCCUCACCACGAGGACCUGCCAGUUGAUAACUGCACAGACCUGUGCUACCAGAUGUCUGUGACGGAGUGUGUUGCAGGCGCUCCCUGAGACACACUAUUGCCUCUCACUUGCUCAGGAGACUCAGUGCUUUCCUAUUUCUCCAGCUUCUAAAAACAAAGGUUUUUCCUUCAUUUCUUUCUUGUCUGCAGUGUUCAGAUUCUUGUACCCACCACGACCACACCUCCCGACCUCCACUCAAUAGUAAACACCUUUCCAAUGGGAAACUCACGGGGCAACCUGCUGGGGCUGGUCUCUUUGUGUUAGAAUCUAUCCUUGUGGUUAGACAGGUCACUACCCAUGGGGCUGGUAAGGGCCCGGCAAUGAGCGGCGAGCCUUACAGCGCACGAGGAGCGCCGCGGUCCAAACCGAGAGCCCCCUUCAGCCAACACAGCCGGUUCUCAUUGUUAGGGCUCUGCCUCCUCUGACAAACCGAUCGGUGCCCAGACUGGGAAGCCGGCUCCUUGAAGGCUGGGUGUCCUCUUUUCUUUCCUAACGAAGCCCAGUUGCUCUCACGGCAUCUCUUCUGAACCUCCCCAGAGGAUUAAGGUCUAGAGUUUAAAAUCAAUUCAUUUUCAGUGCCAGAAUUCUUCUUUCUGGAGAGCACCCAGAACAUGAAUGAAAAUUCCAAUUCCCCAUCUAUGUCCCCAUCCCCAUCCCCCUAAAGAAAAAAAAAAAAAAAAGACUCCAGUGGGAAUGGGUGGUCUACACAGAGACACUGACACUUAGUUAAUUGAGCAGGGAAAAGCACUGAGGCAGCGCCUGCCAUUAAGUGCCGUUAAGUAACAAAAAUGGUGGCCAUAGGUAUCCCUGGACGGACCUGGUCACUCCCGGACCCUGGAGCUGCAUUCUGUUUCAAACGCUGACCCCCCGUAAGGAUAACAGACAAAUAACUCAAUGACCUGCUCACCUGAACGUUCUCAAAUGGCCUACCUACAUUUCAGUUGUUUAAAAACCGCAUAAAAUCUUAUAUCCCUUCAUCAAAUUUGUAAAUGGGGUCAGGGGCCGUUUUUACAUGUCCCUAGUGAACUAACAUGUUUA